This 295-nucleotide ribosomal RNA is filed under the name uncultured bacterium. Its description in RNAcentral is "partial 16S ribosomal RNA". It matches the Rfam family "Bacterial small subunit ribosomal RNA", at positions 505 to 799 of the family's 1533-position model. The record is from RNAcentral.
GUGCCAGCAGCCGCGGUAAUACGUAGGUGGCAAGCGUUGUCCGGAAUUAUUGGGCGUAAAGCGCGCGCAGGCGGUCCUUUAGGUCUGAUGUGAAAGCCCACGGCUCAACCGUGGAGGGUCAUUGGAAACUGGGGGACUUGAGUGCAGAAGAGGAGAGUGGAAUUCCACGUGUAGCGGUGAAAUGCGUAGAGAUGUGGAGGAACACCAGUGGCGAAGGCGACUCUCUGGUCUGUAACUGACGCUGAGGCGCGAAAGCGUGGGGAGCAAACAGGAUUAGAAACCCCUGUAGUCCAAU